GAUGAACGCUGGCGGCGUGCCUAAUACAUGCAAGUCGAGCGAACGGACGAGAAGCUUGCUUCUCUGAUGUUAGCGGCGGACGGGUGAGUAACACGUGGAUAACCUACCUAUAAGACUGGGAUAACUUCGGGAAACCGGAGCUAAUACCGGAUAAUAUUUUGAACCGCAUGGUUCAAAAGUGAAAGACGGUCUUGCUGUCACUUAUAGAUGGAUCCGCGCUGCAUUAGCUAGUUGGUAAGGUAACGGCUUACCAAGGCAACGAUGCAUAGCCGACCUGAGAGGGUGAUCGGCCACACUGGAACUGAGACACGGUCCAGACGCCUACGGGAGGCAGCAGUAGGGAAUCUUCCGCAAAGGGCGAAAGCCUGACGGAGCAACGCCGCGUGAGUGAUGAAGGUCUUCGGAUCGUAAAACUCUGUUAUUAGGGAAGAACAUAUGUGUAAGUAACUGUGCACAUCUUGACGGUACCUAAUCAGAAAGCCACGGCUAACUACGUG
RNAcentral lists this ribosomal RNA (497 nucleotides) under uncultured bacterium. Its description in RNAcentral is "partial 16S ribosomal RNA". It matches the Rfam family "Bacterial small subunit ribosomal RNA", at positions 28 to 507 of the family's 1533-position model. The record is from RNAcentral.